UACGUAGGGACCGAGCGUUGUCCGGAAUCAUUGGGCGUAAAGAGCGUGUAGGCGGCUUGUUAAGUCUUGCGUGAAAUCUCGGGGCUCAACCCCGAGCGGUCGUGAGAAACUGGCAGGCUAGAGUGCGGGAGAGGAGAGUGGAAUUCCUGGUGUAGCGGUGAAAUGCGCAGAUAUCAGGAAGAACACCCGUGGCGAAGGCGGCUCUCUGGAACGCAACUGACGCUGAGACGCGAAAGUGUGGGGAGCGAACAGG
This 253-nucleotide ribosomal RNA is filed under the name uncultured bacterium. Its description in RNAcentral is "partial 16S ribosomal RNA". It matches the Rfam family "Bacterial small subunit ribosomal RNA", at positions 524 to 776 of the family's 1533-position model. The record is from RNAcentral.